This 471-nucleotide long non-coding RNA is filed under the name Cyanistes caeruleus (blue tit). RNAcentral's name for it is "lncRNA (ENSCCEG00000000962.1)". Lineage: Eukaryota; Metazoa; Chordata; Aves; Passeriformes; Paridae. The record is from RNAcentral.
CUGCACCCUCCUAUGUACGAGACACAAUUUGCACACCAAUGCAAUGGAAGCUGUUGAGGAGGAACCACCUCGGUUUGAUCUUUGUAAACUGCUGGUCUUCAGCCUCCAUAGACAGUUCUGGCAGUGCACUUGAACAAGGCUGCAAAGAUAAUUAAUGCACACAAAAGACCACAUGGAACAGCACCAAGAGGUCCUGCCAGUGUUACCCUGCUCUUUGUGGACACGUGGGACCCAGCAGAAUCCAUUGAGCAGCCAGCAGAAGCAGCAGAGCUGGGAACAGUGAGCAGAUGUCCUGAGCCGGCCCGAGGAAGCCCAGGCAGCCACACCAAUACAACCACCAGCACACAGGAUCUCUUUGUUGUCUUGAGCUCUCAGGGUGGCUGCCUAACACCUGCAGCACUCCCACAUCCCUGUGUAAAUUGCCUGCAUCCCUCGCUGACAAAUGAGAGGCCAUUGCCAGCAACAAGGUAA